AUUCUUCUAAAAAUCUUCAUUUGUGUUCUACAGAAGAAAGAAAGUCAUACAAAUCUGGGAUGGAAUGAGAAAGAGAGAAAGUCAUACACAUCUGGCAUGAGGCUGUGACGCAGGUCUGCUUGCCCUGAUAGAUGCUGGGUGACAUCUAGCCUGACCUGGCAUUAUGG
This is a long non-coding RNA of Myxocyprinus asiaticus (Chinese sucker), 167 nucleotides long. RefSeq lists it as uncharacterized. The record is from RefSeq and is a predicted model, not a curated record. The transcript has 3 exons. NCBI's taxonomy places the organism in Eukaryota, Metazoa, Chordata, Actinopteri, Cypriniformes, Catostomidae.